RNAcentral lists this unclassified non-coding RNA (223 nucleotides) under rhizosphere metagenome. RNAcentral describes it as "partial ribosomal RNA internal transcribed spacer region". The record is from RNAcentral.
GAGAGCUUGGGGUGCCUUCGGGCCCCCAGACCUCCCAACCCUGUGUGAACGUACCCUUAGUUGCUUUGGCGGGGCGCGGCUAGUAAUGGCCCCGCUGGCCCCCUCCCCGGGGCCGGUGAGCCCCCGCCAGAGGACCAUAAAAUUCUUGCAUAUAAAACGAUGAAGUCUGAACUUUUUCUAUUUGAAAUAGCGAAAAACUUUCAACAACGGAUCUCUUGGUUCU